RNAcentral lists this ribosomal RNA (439 nucleotides) under uncultured bacterium. RNAcentral's name for it is "partial 16S ribosomal RNA". It matches the Rfam family "Bacterial small subunit ribosomal RNA", at positions 339 to 795 of the family's 1533-position model. The record is from RNAcentral.
CUACGGGCCGCAGCAGUGAGGAAUAUUGCACAAUGGGGGGAACCCUGAUGCAGCAACGCCGCGUGGAGGAUGACGCAUUUCGGUGUGUAAACUCCUUUUAUAUGUCAAGAAAAUGACGGUAGCAUAUGAAUAAGCACCGGCUAACUCCGUGCCAGCAGCCGCGGUAAUACGGAGGGUGCAAGCGUUACUCGGAAUCACUGGGCGUAAAGGGCGCGUAGGCGGGUUGGAAAGUCAGGUGUGAAAUCCUACAGCUUAACUGUAGAACUGCACUUGAAACUUCUAAUCUAGAGUAUGGGAGGGGGAGAUGGAAUUAGUGGUGUAGGGGUAAAAUCCGUAGAUAUCACUAGGAAUACCUAAAGCGAAGGCGAUCUCCUGGAACAUUACCGACGCUAAGGCGUGAAAGCGUGGGGAGCAAACAGGAUUAGAUACCCCAGUAGUC